RNAcentral lists this long non-coding RNA (234 nucleotides) under Linum usitatissimum (flax). RNAcentral's name for it is "long non-coding RNA (LUSI_LNC000410)". Lineage: Eukaryota; Viridiplantae; Streptophyta; Magnoliopsida; Malpighiales; Linaceae. The record is from RNAcentral.
AGUGGAUACUGUCAAGGAAGAAGCAGCUAUAAGACACGCAAAAUACGGCCCCACAUCAUUCUCUCCUGUAUUUAAGGAACUAGAGAAAGAACUGUGAUCCGUUGAUAUUGAACUCUUCAAUUGUGGUUCAUAACUUAAGCCAAUAUCAACCAACUUUAGAAGGAAAGAUGUCUGGUGUGUAGGUUGGAGACCUUCCCGCAGAUUAGUGUGAUCUGUGUUUACAACUUCAGGAGA